This 496-nucleotide ribosomal RNA is filed under the name uncultured bacterium. RNAcentral describes it as "partial 16S ribosomal RNA". It matches the Rfam family "Bacterial small subunit ribosomal RNA", at positions 28 to 506 of the family's 1533-position model. The record is from RNAcentral.
GAUGAACGCUGGCGGCGUGCCUAAUACAUGCAAGUCGAGCGAACAGACGAGGAGCUUGCUCCUCUGACGUUAGCGGCGGACGGGUGAGUAACACGUGGAUAACCUACCUAUAAGACUGGGAUAACUUCGGGAAACCGGAGCUAAUACCGGAUAAUAUAUUGAACCGCAUGGUUCAAUAGUGAAAGACGGUUUUGCUGUCACUUAUAGAUGGAUCCGCGCCGCAUUAGCUAGUUGGUAAGGUAACGGCUUACCAAGGCAACGAUGCGUAGCCGACCUGAGAGGGGGAUCGGCCACAGUGGAACUGAGACACGGUCCAGACCCCUAGGGGGGGCAGGAGGGGGGAAUCUUCCGCAAGGGGCGAAAGCCUGACGGAGCAACGCCGGGGGGGGGAUGAAGGUCUUCGGAUCGUAAAACUCUUUUAUUGGGGAAAAACAAAUUUGUAAGUAACUAUGCCCGCCCUGACGGUACCUAAUAAGAAAGCCACGGCAAACUACGG